This 464-nucleotide unclassified non-coding RNA is filed under the name Hevea brasiliensis (rubber tree). The record is from RNAcentral. Lineage: Eukaryota; Viridiplantae; Streptophyta; Magnoliopsida; Malpighiales; Euphorbiaceae.
AUUCUGGUUAUUUUUGUGAUCCUGUUGUUUCUCUUUUUGUUCUGCUGCAUCCAACCAAAAGGAAUCUUAUAUCUAUACUGCAUUCAGAUCUUAAUCUUUUGCUGAAAUUGCGUGUAGUUGGUUUUAUACUUGGGCAUCGUUUUUUUAUACCUUUUAGCUAAGGAAAUAGGGAAAAGAAGAGAAAAUUGAAAAUUGAGUUUUAGAUUUUUGAUAAUUUGAUCCGAGAGCAUCUAAAACUUCCGAUAAUGGUUGCCUAGUUCUAUCAUUUGACUGAGGCGAGUUUAACUUUGUGCAAUUGGAGACCAUAUAAAAUUUCAUUUUUCAAGUUAGCUUUCUCAUAAACCUCUUUCAUGGUACUUGUAAGUGGGUUUUUGUUCUUAAAUUUGGUGUUGGGAGUUGAAAUUUUCUAAAUUGAUUGAUUGUUAGGCAUUUGUAUUUCUCAGGUCAGUUUGAGUGCGUUUGCA